GACGAACGCUGGCGGCGUGCUUAACACAUGCAAGUCGAACGGUAAGGCCCUUCGGGGUACACGAGUGGCGAACGGGUGAGUAACACGUGGGUGAUCUGCCCUGCACUUCGGGAUAAGCCUGGGAAACUGGGUCUAAUACCGGAUAGGACUCCUGGCUUCAUGGUUGGGGGUGUAAAGCUUUUGCGGUGUGGGAUGGGCCCGCGGCCUAUCAGCUUGUUGGUGGGGUAAUGGCCUACCAAGGCGACGACGGGUAGCCGGCCUGAGAGGGUGACCGGCCACACUGGGACUGAGAUACGGCCCAGACUCCUACGGGAGGCAGCAGUGGGGAAUAUUGCACAAUGGGCGCAAGCCUGAUGCAGCGACGCCGCGUGAGGGAUGACGGCCUCGGGUUGUAAACCUCUUUCAAUAGGACGAAGCGCAAGUGACGGUACCUAUAGAAGAAGGACCGGCCAACUACGUGCCAGCAGCCGCGGUAA
This 476-nucleotide ribosomal RNA is filed under the name uncultured bacterium. Its description in RNAcentral is "bacterial SSU rRNA". It matches the Rfam family "Bacterial small subunit ribosomal RNA", at positions 28 to 523 of the family's 1533-position model. The record is from RNAcentral.